AACUAGAUAGCUUAUAAAUUAAAGCCCUUAACUUUUAAUUAAGAGAUAUAUUAAAUUCUAGUUA
RNAcentral lists this transfer RNA (64 nucleotides) under Olavius algarvensis. It matches the Rfam family "tRNA". From Rfam's summary of the family: Transfer RNA (tRNA) molecules are approximately 80 nucleotides in length. Their secondary structure includes four short double-helical elements and three loops (D, anti-codon, and T loops). Lineage: Eukaryota; Metazoa; Annelida; Clitellata; Tubificida; Naididae. The record is from RNAcentral.